Molecule: long non-coding RNA, 797 nt
Organism: Eucalyptus grandis
Lineage: Eukaryota; Viridiplantae; Streptophyta; Magnoliopsida; Myrtales; Myrtaceae
Exons: 4
Source: RefSeq, a predicted model, not a curated record
CUCUCUCGCACUUGAACCCGGCAAACUCGAAUAUUAAAAAGGUUCAAGAGGAUGCUUUUGAGAGAAUGGUACAAUUAUUUGGCCUGUAGAAUUGGAAAAAUGUGAUGAGAUGGUUUGGUUAGUAAAGGGUUUGAAUGAAUAUACAGAGCACUACUCUAUCUGUGAGGUUCAAUUUUUGGUCUUCUAAUAUGAAGGGGACUCCAUUUCCCGUGUCACCAUAAUUAAAGAAAGGAUGUCCGAGAUAGAAUAUCCACCAAUCAGUGUUGAUAUGAGGAACCAAGCCUCAGCAAUUAUGGAAUUGUCUUGCUGAAAGUGGAAAUGCCUUCGAUUGCCAUGACGUUUCAGUCGAGCUUGAAGUCUGGGGGGAUGAAUUACAUUCAGCCAAGUGUCCUCGGUUUUGUAUGGAAAUUGAAUCUGAUCAGGUUUGCAAAGUUCACGGCGGUUACUAUGCAGAUUCAUCACCAGAGUUUGGGAGGGACAGAAGUUCCAAUUGCUCAUCACAAGAUUUUCCAGGUAAGCUGAGAGAGUCAAGCUUGUGAAGAGCUCUUGAACUGGCCAGCAUAUUUAUACUCGAUUAUCCUUUCUUCCAAAUUGCGGUGAGUUGAAUAUAUAUCUGAAGAAAAGCAAUAUGAGAGUUCCUGGUUCAUUCCUAAAGACGCACGUUAAGAAAAGCCCGCAGACCAUGGCUCUCAUAUUUCAAGACAAAGCAUGGCGUUGAAGCUCACCAGCCCUGAACAUUAUGGAAAGUUAUUUGCCCGCAGGGCUGCAUUCAUGAGAUAAACCUCUCUGAAGGCGGA